Molecule: RNA transcript, 1644 nt
Organism: Dreissena polymorpha
Lineage: Eukaryota; Metazoa; Mollusca; Bivalvia; Myida; Dreissenidae
Gene name: D-beta-hydroxybutyrate dehydrogenase, mitochondrial-like
Exons: 7
Source: RefSeq, a predicted model, not a curated record
AAAUUGCAGAUAAUUGUAUUGUGCUUAAUGUUCAGAUUCAUAAAUUGACUGUGAAUAUUAACAGCUUUUACACGUACAUAGUUUAGCACUUUUUAAACAUGCAAAUAUCGCAGGAGAACAAGGAAACUUAUAUAUUCUACAGUUUUCUACUUGUGUCCGGAUUCAUCUUGUACUGGCUGAUCCGAGAGGCGUACCUCUACGGGGCUAUUCUAGUAGUGUUUUACGUGACCUAUCAGAAAAUUGUUCGUAAUGGCAUUCGCUUCGUCGAGGGCAAAGGUCGAGGUGUACUGAUAACAGGAUGUGACACAGGCUUCGGACACUAUCUUGCCUUGCGGUUAUGGCAAAAUGGUUUCACCGUCUUCGCUGGUUGUUAUCUUCCGGACGACGAAGGGGCCAAAUCACUUCAAAGGAAGGACAGUGAAACUUUACAGGUAUUAAAACUGGAUGUGACAAAGGAUAAUCAUGUGGAGAAGGCAUUGAAGCAUGUGCAGGAAAACCUACCCCAAAAUGGUCUGUGGGCCGUGGUGAACAACGCAGCCAUUAACUACCUGUGUGACAUCGAGUUCUGCUCCCUCGACCUCAUGAGGAGAGUGGAGGACGUCAACUAUUACGGCAUGGUCCGAAUAACCAAGGCCUUCAUUCCACUCUUAAGAAAAUCUAAAGGAAGAAUCAUCAACGUAACAAGUGUCAAAGGCCGCAUUGCAUUGCCGGCCGACGUUUGCUACACGACAACCAAAUGGGCAGGAGAAGCGUUUUCAGAUAUAUUACGUCGAGAGAUGAAACGGUUCGGAAUAAAGGUCGUUAUAGUUGAGCCAGGCAAUUUCGGAGGAAUCACCGGAAUGUUAAACGAUAAGAACAUCGAGCGGGUGGUGACGGCUCUGGAAGAGAGUUGGCAAAAUGCUUCGGACGAAAUCAAAGCAGCCUAUGGCAGGAAGUACAUAGAUGAUGAGAUUGAAGGACUGAAGAGUGCCAGUCGCACUAGCGCCAAGUUCAUCGAGCCGGUCAUUAACGCCAUGCAUGACGCCGUCGCUAACGAACGCCCUGAGUAUCGGUAUCUAGUAAACGGCGGAACAAAGCCUGCUGUGGACUGGUAUUGCGUGAGUAAAAGAUUUGAACUUUAGAACAAAGCCUGCUGUGGACUGGUAUUGCGUGAGUAAAAGAUUUGAACUUAAGAACAAAGCCUGUUGUGGACUGGUAUUGCCUGUGCGCCAGAAUGAACGAAAUUCUACCGGAAGGGUUCGUGGAUUUGUUUAUCGAGAAGACAUCACCACUCCCGCCUGUUAAGAAACGAGUCUGAUGCUAUCAUAAUGACUUCAAAGUAGACAUUGUAUGGCGCAAGUUUCACGCGUACAUAUUAGUUUUACAGCAUGUUUAUUUAUGGAAGUGUUUCACUUUUUUUAUUUUAUGAUCAUGCACACUGCUAUAAUCCAUAAGGUUUGACGACGUAUUUAAUUAGUAAGAAAUACGUUAUAUAUUUUUGUACUUCGAUUAUUUGUACUUAGUAACAAUUCAUGUACAAACACAUAUAGUGUUCAGGCAUAUGUUAAAAAAGCUUUUUUUUAUAAAUUCUUGUUUUUUGUCACAAAAGUGUUUUAUGAUAUUGUUUUUGUAAAGGGUAAUAAUCAAUAAAUGUAGAUUAUUCUA